Oreochromis niloticus (Nile tilapia) is the source of this 1233-nucleotide long non-coding RNA. RefSeq lists it as uncharacterized. The record is from RefSeq and is a predicted model, not a curated record. NCBI's taxonomy places the organism in Eukaryota, Metazoa, Chordata, Actinopteri, Cichliformes, Cichlidae. The transcript is spliced from 3 exons.
AGAAGACCCACUGUGGUCCCUGGUUUCCACAAUAACAUCCCCAGGGAGGAGGAGAAGAAGAAGUAGACAUGAACAAGGAGCAGACAGGAAUCAACACUGGAGCAAAAGACAAGACUGGCAGACGGCGCUGAACGGAGCCAUUCGAAUUAAGCAUUUGAAGAGUAAAUGUUGCUGGCGUCAGCUCAAAGCAUUCUUCUGUGACAUGUGCAGAACAUACAGACAGGUUGGAUCCUGUUCCGGACCCCCACGGACCCCGCUGCAAACAGAGCUUCGAGUUUAUGAAACGAGCUGAAGAAUGCCACCUCUCAAGUUUGAAAUCUGCACCGACUGUGCAAAGAUGUAACCAGAGAAAAUACAUAAUGGUGGAAGGUGUGAGUCAUUGUUUUUUGCUUGGUAUGAUAAAGGAAAGAGAUAAAAGCAAAGAGCGAGGGGAGCAGAGAAUACACUCAGCCUGCUUGAGAGGUCGUCUGUGCAUGCAAACUCUUCCAGCGCAAGCACAACCAGCGUUUAUAAAUUUAGAAAUACAUGUUUUAACAAGAAUGUUUGAUCUAGACUUCCAGCUAAAACAGAUGCACCUCUUUUUCUUCUCCCAGGAAAAAAUGAGAAAGGAAAAAAAAGACCUGUCAUGACCCCACAUGUUAUUUCCACUUCAGCUUUCUUGCAGUUAAUUGCAUCACGGCUGGAUUCAAGUGGAAAGCCAGAUUAAAAAGAUAAGAGGAGGAGAUGAUGAUAGAUAUAUCUAGUUAUGCUCAAAGAUUAGGUGAGCAUGAAUAUUUCAUUUCUACAGGUCCCACUUUGUCAGAUUUGUGCUUUUCCUUUUUGUUGUCUUGCUCUGUAGAAGAAAGGUAGAGCUUAAAUUAAAAUGCUGUGAUUAUUUCGUUUGUAUUUCAACUGCUGUGUGGCAUUUCUUGGAACAUGUCAAUCACUAGUUAUUUAGUAUAGUUGCAGAAUCUGUUUUCAAUAGAAAAAACUUUACAGGAUCCAAACCUCAGCUUUGCUAUUCAGACUGUGAUGAAAAAUAAUCCCAGCACUGUCAUGUACAUGUAAACGACAGGAGUCUAGCAAUCUAGCUGCUUCCAUAACAUAAGUGAGAAGUGAUGCUUUUAUGUGAUACAAAAAUAAAACAUCCAGGAUGUUAAACUCACUUUUCACUGUGAGCCAUGGACAGAGCACGUUGAUCAUAAAGAAAAGUCUCCUUUCUGUGAGUGUAAAAAGUUUAACUACACAUUUAAU